AUUGAACGCUGGCGGCAUGCUUUGCACAUGCCAGUCGAACGGUAACAGGCCUUCGGGUGCUGACGAGUGGCGAACGGGUGAGUAAUGCAUCGGAACGUGCCCAGAGGUGGGGGAUAACGCAGCGAAAGCUGUGCUAAUACCGCAUGUGAUCUGAGGAUGAAAGCGGGGGACCAGGCAGCAAUGUUUGGCCUCGCGCCUUUGGAGCGGCCGAUGUCAGAUUAGGUAGUUGGUGGGGUAAAGGCCUACCAAGCCGACGAUCUGUAGCUGGUCUGAGAGGACGACCAGCCACACUGGGACUGAGACACGGCCCAGACUCCUACGGGAGGCAGCAGUGGGGAAUUUUGGACAAUGGGCGCAAGCCUGAUCCAGCAAUGCCGCGUGCGGGAAGAAGGCCUUCGGGUUGUAAACCGCUUUUGUACGGAACGAAAAGGCUCUGGCUAAUACCUGGGGCUGAUGACGGUACCGUAAGAAUAAGCACCGGCUAACUACGUG
RNAcentral lists this ribosomal RNA (492 nucleotides) under uncultured bacterium. Its description in RNAcentral is "partial 16S ribosomal RNA". It matches the Rfam family "Bacterial small subunit ribosomal RNA", at positions 30 to 507 of the family's 1533-position model. The record is from RNAcentral.